GGCUGCCUCAUCCUCGUGUCUCUUCGUCAGCCGGGUAAUAUAUCGCUCACUUAUCCUCGUGUGCGCCGUUAUAUACGUGUGUAGUGUGCGGGCAGCGAGGCGAAGGCCCUGGGCAGCGUUAGGGAGGCCGAGGCACUUGGGGCGAGAGGAAGAGGCGGUUGCAGCCAUGAGUGGCGGCCUGGCACGGAUGGGCUGGCAAGGGGGCGGCUGAGGAGGCCCUGAAGAAGCUGGCAGUGUCUGUCUGUGUGGGUGUGUCUCUCUAGAACGCCGGUGUGUGGCGAGCUGUGGUCGGCGCCAGUCAUCACGGAGCUGUAAUGACCCACUCGCCCAGGUGGACAGAGACAGCAGCAUGAGACAACGCUUCCUGUCAGUCCACCCUCAGGAGCUGUCUGUUCUGUUGGGGGUAUUGACCCACUCGGCAAGGUGGAGAGAGACAGCAGUACAAAACAGCGCUGCCUGUCAGUCCACCCUCAGGAGCUGUCUGUUCUGUUGGGGGUAUUGACCCACUCACCAAGGUGGAGAGAGACAGCAGUACAAAACAACGCUGCCUGUCAGUCCACCCUCAGGAGCUGUCUGUUCUGUUGGGGGUAUUGACCCACUCACCAAGGUGGAGAGAGACAGCAGCAUGAGACAACGCUGCCCAUCGGUCCACCUUCAGGAGCUGCCUGUUCUGUUGUGGGAGAAGAGAUGUUAGUCACCCCUGAAGAAUUUUCCACUGAAUUGAGACCAGGGUUGGCAAUGAUUAAAUCAAAUUGAUUUAAUCAAAUGAUUAAAUCAUUGAUUU
This is a long non-coding RNA of Eriocheir sinensis (Chinese mitten crab), 784 nucleotides long. RefSeq lists it as uncharacterized. The transcript has 3 exons. The record is from RefSeq and is a predicted model, not a curated record. NCBI's taxonomy places the organism in Eukaryota, Metazoa, Arthropoda, Malacostraca, Decapoda, Varunidae.